Lycium barbarum (goji berry) is the source of this 795-nucleotide long non-coding RNA. RefSeq lists it as uncharacterized. Lineage: Eukaryota; Viridiplantae; Streptophyta; Magnoliopsida; Solanales; Solanaceae. The record is from RefSeq and is a predicted model, not a curated record. The transcript is spliced from 3 exons.
UGGGUCUCAAAUACCAUUAGAUAAAGAAAGUACAAGUGACAGCUAAGGAUAAGGAAAAGGUCUCAUAAAGUUUCCUUGCAAAUGUGAUACCAAUUAGCCCUUCUUGUUCACUGGGCAGGAGGUAAACACGCAGCUACCAUGGCUGGUCUUAGCUCAUUAUCUCAACAUAAUUAGCAGGGGAGUUUUGGAAAUACUUUUGGGCAACUAUAGUUUGCAACAGCAGCAACAAAAGGAAAACUAAAAGCUAAAGUAUUUGGUAGUGUUGGUAGCAAUAACAACUUGAAAUUUGGCAAUUUGGGAGAGGGAAAAAGCUGCUCCUUUCCAAGCUUCGAAGAGAUCAAUAGCUCAAGUAUUCUACAACUAGAAAAUUAUGAAACUCCACUAGUUAUCAAAGAUUGAAGUUGUUUGGAUCGACUGACUCAUUCUUUAACAUUUGGAGCUAACAGUUGGUGAAGUAAGGUGACUUUGAGGUGCACAGGGAGACAGACUCGAUCCAUAGCGGUAUUCUCAAAGACCACCUAGCGGAGCUCCAUUUCAUUCGGAACCAUAGCUUUUGGGUACUUAUUAUUUUGUGUACAUAAUUAUGGGCAUAGCGGGGUCCUGUCCCGCUUAUGUGAUGUGUUAUACUCUCCUUAGAUGCUCGUAGUCACGUGUAUAUGAUUAUAUAUGUCUGGCCUUGUUGGCCUAUAUUUUGUAUAUCAUUUUGUUAGCCUUGUCGGCUCAUGUACAUUGAUGUGGCAUAGAUGCCAAUUAUGAUAUAAAGGCAUUGUUGUCCAAUGGGACUAGCAUGAUGAA